AGCAAGCCUGACGGAGCAACGCCGCGUGAGGGANGAAGGCCUCUGGGCUGUAAACCUCUUUUCUCAAGGAAGAAGAUAUGACAGUACUUGAUGAAUAAGCCACGGCUAAUUCCGUGCCAGCAGCCGCGGUAAUACGGGAGUGGCAAGCGUUAUCCGGAAUUAUUGGGCGUAAAGCGUCCGCAGGCGGCUUUUCAAGUCUGCUGUUAAAACGUGGAGCUUAACUCCAUCAUGGCAGUGGAAACUGAAACGCUUGAGUAUGGUAGGGGCAGAGGGAAUUCCCGGUGUAGCGGUGAAAUGCGUAGAUAUCGGGAAGAACACCAGUGGCGAAGGCGCUUUGCUGGGCCAUUACUGACGCUCAUGGACGAAAGCCAGGGGAGC
Molecule: ribosomal RNA, 378 nt
Filed under: uncultured cyanobacterium
Lineage: Bacteria; Bacillati; Cyanobacteriota
Description: SSU rRNA
Rfam family: Bacterial small subunit ribosomal RNA
Source: RNAcentral